This 495-nucleotide ribosomal RNA is filed under the name uncultured bacterium. RNAcentral describes it as "partial 16S ribosomal RNA". It matches the Rfam family "Bacterial small subunit ribosomal RNA", at positions 28 to 507 of the family's 1533-position model. The record is from RNAcentral.
GACGAACGCUGGCGGCGUGCCUAAUACAUGCAAGUAGAACGCUGAAGGAGGAGCUUGCUUCUCUGGAUGAGUUGCGAACGGGUGAGUAACGCGUAGGUAACCUGCCUGGUAGCGGGGGAUAACUAUUGGAAACGAUAGCUAAUACCGCAUAAUAGUAGAUGUUGCAUGACAUUUGCUUAAAAGGUGCAAUUGCAUCACUACCAGAUGGACCUGCGUUGUAUUAGCUAGUUGGUGAGGUAACGGCUCACCAAGGCAACGAUACAUAGCCGACCUGAGAGGGGGAUCGGCCACACUGGGACUGAGACACGGCCCAGACGCCUACGGGAGGCAGCAGUAGGGAAUCUUCGGCAAUGGACGGAAGUCUGACCGAGCAACGCCGCGUGAGUGAAGAAGGUUUUCGGAUCGUAAAGCUCGGUUGUAAGAGAAGAACGAGUGUGAGAGUGGAAAGUUCACACUGUGACGGUAUCUUACCAGAAAGGGACGGCUAACUACGUG